CCCUGACGCAGCAACGCCGCGUGAGUGAAGAAGGCCUUUGGGUCGUAAAGCUCUGUCAACCGGGAAGAAGUUAACAUCAGCGAACAGUUGGUGUUAUUGACGGUACCGGUGGAGGAAGCGCCGGCUAACUCCGUGCCAGCAGCCGCGGUAACACGGGGGGCGCAAGCGUUAUUNGGAAUUAUUGGGCGUAAAGGGCGCGUAGGCGGUUCUGUCGGUCAGAUGUGAAAGCCCGGGGCUCAACCCUGGAAGUGCAUUUGAAACAGCAGAACUUGAGUACGGGAGAGGAAAGCGGAAUUCCUGGUGUAGAGGUGAAAUUCGUAGAUAUCAGGAGGAACACCNAUGGCGAAGGCAGCUUUCUGGACCGAUACUGACGCUGAGGCGCGAAGGCNUGGGUAGCGAACGNGAUUAGAUAUCCCCGGUAGUCCANGCAGUAAANGAUGUUCACNAGGUG
RNAcentral lists this ribosomal RNA (451 nucleotides) under uncultured delta proteobacterium. RNAcentral describes it as "bacterial SSU rRNA". It matches the Rfam family "Bacterial small subunit ribosomal RNA", at positions 381 to 822 of the family's 1533-position model. Lineage: Bacteria; Deltaproteobacteria. The record is from RNAcentral.